Ochlerotatus camptorhynchus is the source of this 504-nucleotide long non-coding RNA. RefSeq lists it as uncharacterized. NCBI's taxonomy places the organism in Eukaryota, Metazoa, Arthropoda, Insecta, Diptera, Culicidae. The transcript is spliced from 2 exons. The record is from RefSeq and is a predicted model, not a curated record.
UAUCAGUUUCCGGUCGAACUGUUCGUCGCCGUCUCGUAGCACAGGGGUUGAAUAGCAAAGUUGCCCGGAAGCGCCCAUUUAUCAGCAAGGCAAACAAAGCCAAACGGCUUAAGUUUUCUAAGGAGCAUGCUGAUAAGCCCCUAGAGUUCUGGAAAACGGUUCGAGCUGUUUAAUCGAAAGCGGCGGGUUCGUGUGUCUGAAGAUCGGCUGAGGAGCUUCAGGAGCGCCACAUUCAAGGCACGGUGAAGCAUGGAGGAGAAAAUGUGAUGAUCGACGGGAUAAUGACGGCAGAUUCCUACAUCAACAUCCUGCGGGAAAAUCUGGAGGUUUCGCUGAUCCAGACGGGCCUUGAAGAGAAGUUCGUAUUUCAGCAGGACAAUGACCCUAAGUAUACUGUCUAGAAGACCAAGUCUUUCUUCCGGUCUUGUCGGAUCAAACAGCUGGAAUAGCCUCCACAAAGCCCGGACCUCAACCCCAUCGAGAAUUUGUGGGCGAUUCUUGAUA